Molecule: long non-coding RNA, 4197 nt
Organism: Meleagris gallopavo (turkey)
Lineage: Eukaryota; Metazoa; Chordata; Aves; Galliformes; Phasianidae
Source: Ensembl
AUGAAGAAAGAUGCCUUAGGGAUCUGCCGGGACCCGCCGNNNNNNNNNNNNNNNNNNNNNNNNNNNNNNNNNNNNNNNNNNNNNNNNNNNNNNNNNNNNNNNNNNNNNNNNNNNNNNNNNNNNNNNNNNNNNNNNNNNNGCUGGCGUUGCGACGUGGGCGGACGUGUGCGCGGGCUUUCCCAACUUGAACGAUUCUACGGUUUUCAAACGCGCGCUUUUAACAGAGUUUUGCCUUGGGCGGAAAGGAUUUGCGUGUUUGAAUGUAAAGCGCGUGUUUUGUGGCUGAAGCGUUCGGUGAUGUCCGCGGUCGCUGACGGGCUGCUCGCCUCCGUUCUCGCCGAGAUAAGGGGCGUGCAGGAGGGACGCGGGCGAGGCCGUGGGAAGCGAACGUCCCGCUGCCGAAUGGGACGGAAUGGAGCCUGUUGGGACCUUCCAGUAACGGUGAACUUCUGUAGCGGAAUCCCUGUAAUAUUCCUGCUGAAUACCUCGGGGAACGUUAACGUUGUGAAUCCAUCUGCAGAGCUUUAUGGGCUUAUGUAAAUAGGCUCUAUAAAAGAGCUAAUCAAGAGCAGUGUAUUAAAAAGUCAAUAAAACCCAAACCCAUUUCAGGCUUUUCAUCAUCAGUGCCAAUGUGAAACGUGUUGUCCUUAACCUUAUUCUACUAGAGUGUGAUAUUUGUUGUGGGCACCUGUGGUGUAGGAAUGUUUGCUUCUCUUUGAAGAUCUUUGUGCCUGCGUGUUCCUGGAGGGGAUGUGCUGCAGGCACGUGGAGGCCAACAGCUGUUAGACUGGAUCUUGUGAGGAAAUCGAGGGACACCCUCUAGUGAUGGUGGUUUUAUUUUACAGAAACACUUUUUUCCAAGAAUAAACAGCACAGCAGUGCACUGAAAGGAGAAUUGGCCAUUAGUUCCUUUCUGAAAAGUUUUUGUUUCCUCAGAGAUCUUGCUCAAUAAAAAUUCACUGUUAUUUCUUCUGAGAUCCGUGUUUUCUGGAAUUCUGUUAGCUUUGUUAUGAUGGAACGAGAGCACAUGGUGAUCUGAAUUAAAGUGGUUUACUUAAUAGCAAUACAGGUCAUCAGUCUGUUUUGUUUUCCGAAGACACUCAUCUUAAAAAAGGAAUAGCUCUCCACUUCUUGUAUUGCUUUCUUGUUUAUAGUGCCUCUGUGGUGUUAAAAUACACGCACGCAAACCUUUUUAUGAAAAGGGGACUGUAUUUUAAUGCAAGUGGGUGAUGGUAAACAGCUGCAGAACUUUGAGUUUGUGACGUCCCUCAAGGGUUUGCUUUCUUCCAUGCUUGCGUUAUACAUUCACGUUCUCAUUCUGGUCCCAGUAUGACAAACUUUCCUCAAAAAAAAUAUAACGUAUCUAUUUCUUCUUUUCAUAGGCAGAGCAGAUGUUGUUUGUUCCUGUUGGUCUUCAGCAGUUCAGUCAGACUUUGCUCUUUAUUAUUCUAAUGCAAUCAAUGAUAGAACUUUACUGUUUUCAUUUAGUAUCAUUGUACAGUCAGUGAAUGUACAGAUGUUAUAGUUAUGAGAUGUACCAGAGAGCUUGGCCAUGCAGUUAUUACACCAAAGCAGAAAAGAUAGGACGCUUACCCAUAUCCUGGGCUCGCUUAUGAAACUCUAGCAGAGUGGAUCUCCAGAAGGGAUCCUUUCCUACUGGCAGUCAGCUCUUAAAUGGGUCUAGGAGAGGUGCAGCAGGCUCCACCCCUUUCGGCAGCACAGGAGAAUUGUCUUCACCUGUGCUCCCGUGGCUGACUCAUUGCUCGCCUCAGGUGGUCAAUCAAAGGUUCAGGCCGUGAUUCAGCAGUUCCCAUGCGGUCACGUUGGGAUACAUUUUAGAUGCCUGUAUACCUUUCUUAAAUUGAAAAAUGUGGCAAUAUAUCAGUCCAGCAGUCAGAAUAACAAAAUUCCAAAUUUUGUCUAUCUAGCUACUCAUAUCUGUAUGGAGUGAAAUACAGAUCCAUUGUAGGAUAAUGGUGUUUCCAGUGUAAAACACAGUGUGAACUGCUUUGAUGCGGUCCUGAAAAAGUGAUCUUGCAGCAUAGUGCUCUUGUAGAUGUCUGUCUUCUCCCGCUUCUUAAGUAUAUCUUAAAGCUAAGAAAAAAUUACUUGAUUGUAGAGCCCGUUCACAUAAGCAGGAUAAAAUUCCAUGCACAGAGAAAUAAAGUAAACAUUUGUGUGAUCUUUCUUCCAAGGAGCUACAGAAUCUCACAGUAAUUGAUGCGUUUAUUUAAUUUUGCCACAACUAUUGAAGGCUUAAAAUAUUUUUCGUUUCAUACAAAAAGCAUCAUUCCCUUGUUAUCACAAGGUAUUGAUUCAUUCAUGAAGAAAAUUUUCUACAUGUGGAACAUCAGUUCUGCAGAUGCUGUAAGCGAUGGCUGAGUAUUUCUGCACUAUUUUUGAAUGUUUACGUUGUUCACUCUAACCUGACUUGUCUGGAAGCAUUUACAGGGAAUUGUCAUGUAUUUCAGGAAAUUGAAAGCAGAUUCUUAUCUGUUGUUUGGCAUUUUUGAUUAAUUGGGAUGAAAUUGAAAUGAAACAAUUGCUCCAAUGAAGUAUAGUAUGUUCUUACACACUGGAUUAGGAUCACUUUAAACACAAAAAAAUACCAUGGAGACUUGCAAUGAUGAAUAUUCCACAGCUGAUUUUAGAGGCUUUUUAUAUUGUAAUUAAGUCCUUCAUUUCUCUCUCUGGGAGACACGGCCUUUCUGUGUGCAGGAACUUUCUAUAGGCUUCAAUUUCAUAGAAUCAUAGAAUGGCCUGGAUUGAAAAGGACCACAAUGAUCAUCUAGUUUCAGUCCUCCUGCUAUGUGCAACCACUAGACCAGGCUGCCCAGAGCCAUAUCCAGCCUUGAAUGCCUCCAGGUAGUAAAACAAACAGAAAACAGAACAGAGUUCUGUGAAAGAGGAUUUUUUAUUUUUUUUUUUCCCUUAUUUCCAGAAACUGAGUGAAGUCCAUCAGGAAAUGAGACUUCUGAUAUGCUUUGCCUGCACAUCUUGUACAGAAUCUUCAUUUCAGCAGAUUCUGAGAAUACCUAAACAGUAUGGGCUUUGAAUUUAAUAACUGUUACUUGCUCAUCUUUUUAAAUGUAGUUUUCUAGUGACUUCCAGAUCCCCCUCUGUAUCCACCUCUUUCUGUCAAAAUAUUUCCUAAUGGCAGACAUUUGCUAUAGUACAUACUCAGAACCUGUUUUUUCCUAAACCAUCACAGGGCUGGAUAAAAUGCCUGUUGAAGAGCAGUUGGCUUGACAACCUCAUCUUGGCUCAUAUAGGCCUGCUGUUGUUUCUUACUGUCUUCUAAAUAUUUACAAAUAGGCUGGUUCAAACUGGCAGAUGAGAAAAAAAUGCAACUAGAAUCUGGUUCAUUAAUGAAGAAAUUAAUGAAUCCUUUCAAUAAGAGAAGCCUUGAACUGAUCACUUUUCAAGCUGUUAGGUUUCUAAGCGAUUUUCAGCUAAAAUAUUCUUGAAGGUUUUGUGAAGAGGAUAAAUGUGACCCUCCAGAAUGUGGUGGUGCAGCCCAAUCGAAGGGAAAUGGGUGCUGCCUCCAAGCAAUGUGUAGAACACAAACAUAAUUCUGCUCAAUACAGAAAGUUGGUGGAACUUCAGUCAUUUGGUCCCACGUGCAAUCUCAUUUACAGUAUGCACUUAACCAUUUCAUGUGAGAGUGUGGGUUGUAGGCAUCCACUCCUUUGUGUUUCUGUCCCCGAGACCAUAGCUUUUUUAUAAACAACAGGAUAAUUAUUUAUCCUUUCUAUUUAGAAAUUGAGGUAUACAAUAGGGUAUGGGGUUGCUCUACAGAAGUGGCUUGAAUCUGCCAGAAGAGAUCAUUAUCUAUCUGAUGUAGAAGAUAAGGGGAAGGAAUCCCAUCAAUCCUCAAAUGAAAACGAGGUCUUGAUAAGUUUGAUUGGAGAUGAAUUCUCAUUCACUUUAAAUUUUGGAAAGAAAAGUCUGGUCUUUCUGGGAACACUAAUUUAAAGGCUACAACAAAUAGGAAUUCUGUAAGAGCAUAUUGUAAAAGCUAGAUUUGUUGCAACUAAGGCAUUUAAAUUAAUGGUCUGUAAGGUCUGAAUUGCAAAAACAAACACAAUUCUACUUUCUCAUGCUUUUUGUUGGAACGUGGGAAUCUGUGGGCUAUACAUAAGCUUAUUUUACAUAAUUUAAAAUAUCUUUUACAAAACAAUCCAUUUAAUCAUGUCA